CGUAUGGUGGCCAACUUCGGGUUGGUUAGCGAUGCGGCCUUAUUUUGAGGU
Alteromonas sp. is the source of this 51-nucleotide regulatory RNA element. It matches the Rfam family "L31-Gammaproteobacteria ribosomal protein leader". The record is from Rfam. NCBI's taxonomy places the organism in Bacteria, Pseudomonadati, Pseudomonadota, Gammaproteobacteria, Alteromonadales, Alteromonadaceae.